Leminorella grimontii is the source of this 205-nucleotide non-coding RNA. NCBI's taxonomy places the organism in Bacteria, Pseudomonadati, Pseudomonadota, Gammaproteobacteria, Enterobacterales, Budviciaceae. The record is from Rfam.
ACUUCCUGAGCCGGAACGAAAGUGCGUUUUUAAGCGAAAGCGCAUUUUGGCUUUGUGGUUGUGAUGUUGUGUUUGCUAAUUUGCCUGGCGAGUGUCGGGCGCGGUCGUUAGCUUCCUAUCUCAUAGGAUUAACGAUUAUUUCUGAACAUUUACCCUAUUUGUCACAUAGUGUUUAUGUAGCACCGCCAAGGCGGUGCUUUUUUUU